This 491-nucleotide ribosomal RNA is filed under the name uncultured bacterium. RNAcentral describes it as "partial 16S ribosomal RNA". It matches the Rfam family "Bacterial small subunit ribosomal RNA", at positions 29 to 506 of the family's 1533-position model. The record is from RNAcentral.
AGUGAACGCUGGCGGUAGGCCUAACACAUGCAAGUCGAACGGCAGCACAGUAAGAGCUUGCUCUUACGGGUGGCGAGUGGCGGACGGGUGAGGAAUACAUCGGAAUCUACUUUUUCGUGGGGGAUAACGUAGGGAAACUUACGCUAAUACCGCAUACGACCUACGGGUGAAAGCAGGGGAUCUUCGGACCUUGCGCGAUUGAAUGAGCCGAUGUCGGAUUAGCUAGUUGGCGGGGUAAAGGCCCACCAAGGCGACGAUCCGUAGCUGGUCUGAGAGGAUGAUCAGCCACACUGGAACUGAGACACGGCCCAGACCCCUAGGGGAGGCAGCGGGGGGGAAUAUUGGAAAAUGGGCGCAAGCCUGACCCAGCCAUCCCGGGGGGGUGAAAAAGGCCUUCGGGUUGUAAAGCCCUUUUGUUGGGAAAGAAAAGCAGCAGGUUAAUACCCCGCUGUUCUGACGGUACCCAAAGAAUAAGCCCCGGCUAACUUCGU